Molecule: ribosomal RNA, 255 nt
Filed under: uncultured bacterium
Lineage: Bacteria
Description: partial 16S ribosomal RNA
Rfam family: Bacterial small subunit ribosomal RNA
Source: RNAcentral
CACGUAGGGCGCAAGCGUUGUCCGGAAUUAUUUGGGCGUAAAGAGCUCGUAGGCGGUUUGUCGCGUCUGCUGUGAAAACCCGAGGCUCAACCUCGGGCCUGCAGUGGGUACGGGCAGACUAGAGUGCGGUAGGGGAGAUUGGAAUUCCUGGUGUAGCGGUGGAAUGCGCAGAUAUCAGGAGGAACACCAAUGGCGAAGGCAGAUCUCUGGGCCGUAACUGACGCUGAGGAGCGAAAAGCAUGGGGAGCGAACAGG